Long non-coding RNA from Pan troglodytes (chimpanzee), 1218 nucleotides. RefSeq lists it as uncharacterized. The record is from RefSeq and is a predicted model, not a curated record. The transcript is spliced from 2 exons. Lineage: Eukaryota; Metazoa; Chordata; Mammalia; Primates; Hominidae.
AGUCUCUGAGAAUAUCAGGUGCUUUGGCAUUCAGAACGUCUUUAUGAAUUCACAGAGUCCUGACACUUGGGCGGGGCUCUCUGGGCUGGGGUUUCUGCAUGUCUCUUUGAGCUCUGUGAUGUAUACCCCAGACCAAAUGGAUGUUCCAGAGACUGGGUGCCCUGAAGAUGAGCCCUUGGUUCUGUCUGCAACCUCAUUCUGCAGAAUUCUUGAGGGGCUCGGUGGAUGGGAAACAAAGAUGAAUAAUGCAUGAUUUCAACAAACGCUUACUGGGUGUGCAGCACAUAGCAGAUGCUGAGGAUAAAACAGUGAAGAAGACUUGAACCCUGACCUGGUAGAUUGCACAGUUCUGCUGGGGAGGCAGACAAGAAAAAACAAUGAUGAACAGAGGGCCUGGCACGCUGCCUGCUGGGGUAGGCAGGUGGCAAACACAAGGAGGAAGCCCUAGGAUCACAGACGGACAUGGCUCCUGCCUGGGAGGAUUUCCCAGUCUCGUAGGGAAUGAGGGAGGCCCUUGAGCACCCCCAGAUCCCUGCAGCGUGUGCUGAAGUUCCAUCGAGUCAGUGGGGGAGGUGAACACUGCCCCAGAGCACUGGGUGUUGGCCUCUGGGGAACAGAGAGAGGGAGCUUGGGGAACAGACAGAGGAAGUUGGAGGGUCAUUUUCUUGCAGGGAAAUAAUUAUUGCCCUCCUUCCCUGCGAUUUGUAGAGGAGGGCAACUUUUAGGAAUAAUGGUGUGUUAGGGAUUGAACUGUAUUCCCUCAAAAGCUGUAGAAGUCCUGACCUCCAGUACCUGUGAAUAGGACCUUAUUUGGAAAUAGGAUCUCUGCAGAUGAUCAGAGUUAAGAUGAAGCUAUUAAGUCAUUGAGGUUGGCUGGAAUCCAAUAUGACUGGUAAUAUUAGAUUCCAGCCAAUAUAAUAUUUUUAUAAAAUGGGGAAAUUUGAAUAUAUAGAGACACACACACACAAACACACACACACACACACAACACAAUGUGAAGAUUGGGGUUCUGCUGCCACAAGCCAGGGAACUACCAGCAGCUCAGAGAGAGGCCUAGAAUCGAGCCUACCCUGGCGCCUUCAGAGGCAGCAUGACUGCCCACCUUGAUCUCGGAUGUCCAGCCUCCAGAACUGUGGGACAAUACAUUUCUGCUAUGUAAGCCCCGAGUCGGUGGUCGUGGCAACCCUAGCAAACUAAUACAUGCUAGAAGGACCCAAA